Ornithodoros turicata is the source of this 1011-nucleotide RNA transcript. RefSeq lists it as uncharacterized. The record is from RefSeq and is a predicted model, not a curated record. The transcript is spliced from 6 exons. NCBI's taxonomy places the organism in Eukaryota, Metazoa, Arthropoda, Arachnida, Ixodida, Argasidae.
CAAACCAGCAUUUCCGACAACUGUUCCACGUGAUGGCAGAGUUGAGGAUCUUCGUCUCAUCAAGUCAAGUACGGCGAUUUUUACAUCUACCACCUGUCAACAUUGGUCGGAACCCAUCUCACUUCUUCAAAAGGACCGGAACGCCAGCCUUCAGUCGGGGCACGGCAUAGCUCAAAGAAUGAAGCACUCACCCUUUCUUACGCUGCAGGUUCUGCUUGUUGCGACAAGCUUAUCGGAAUCAUCACGCUUCAAACCAGCAUUUCCGACAACUGUUCCACGUGAUGGCAGAGUUGAGGAUCUUCGUCUGAUCAAGUCAAGUACGGCGAUUUUGACAUCCACCACCUGUCAACAUUGGUCGGAACCCAUCUCACUUCUUCAAAAGGACCGGAACGCCAGCCUUCAGUCAGGGCCCGGCAUCGCUCAAAGAAUGAAGCACUCACCCUUUCUUACGCUGCAGGGGCAACUUUCGCAGCACCUGAGCGAAUACUCAGACGUACCUGUCCAGAAUUGCCUUUCGAGUAUGACUCCAAUAGAGCGGAUGUGGAAUCAUGCAUUUAUAUUUGCCGUGACCAAGGAUUCUUCCGUUACUACGGGUACUUGUCGCCACAAUAUAACUGUGCAGGCACACAGGAUGGUGCAAAGUUUUCCGGGAAAUGCAGCGAAGGCACUUGCAAAAAUGCGUCACGAGUCGACUCGUUCUUGGUGAAGAUGUGUGGCGACAAGAAUAUCACGGCUUACGGGCAUAGAGGAAACAGGAUUCUGCCAAAAUCGUGUAUGUACGGAUGUGGACCAUACAAGAAGGGUAGACUGCAUUACGGACAUCUUCCAGAUGGAGUCGGAUGUUGGGCCCGAAGUUCCAUAAAUCGGUCAUACAACCCUGGGUCGUAUUACAGGGGGAAGUGCAGCAACGGAGUCUGUCAAUAGCUUCAUCUGGCCAAGAACACUUCUCUGGAUGCCGUCAUUCGACUAGUGCAGUGUUGAGUCAUUCAAUAAAGACCUUAGUGAAAGGGU